GACGGAGGAUGCAAGCGUUAUCCGGAAUGAUUGGGCGUAAAGCGUCCGCAGGUGGCAAAUCAAGUCUGCUGUUAAAGCGCAGGGCUUAACUCUGUAAAGGCAGUGGAAACUGAUUAGCUAGAGUGUGGUAGGGGCAGAGGGAAUUCCCAGUGUAGCGGUGAAAUGCGCAGAUAUCAGGAAGAACACCCGUGGCGAAGGCGGUUCUCUGGGACGGUACUGACGCUGAGGAGCGAAAGCGUGGGGGAGCAAACAGG
Molecule: ribosomal RNA, 254 nt
Filed under: uncultured bacterium
Lineage: Bacteria
Description: partial 16S ribosomal RNA
Rfam family: Bacterial small subunit ribosomal RNA
Source: RNAcentral